CAAUAGACUACCCGGGUAGUCCACGCCGUAAACGAUGGAUACUAGCUGUAUUCGGUAUCGACCCCGGAUGUAGCGAAGCUAACGCGUUAAGUAUCCCGCCUGUGGGAGUACGGUCGCAAGACUAAAACAUAAAGGAAUUGACGGGGACCCGCACAAGCGGUGGAGCGUGUUGUUUAAUUCGAUGAUAAGCGAAGAACCUUACCAGGGCUUGACAUCCUCAGAAGCACUUCGAAAGAAGCGUGUGCCUUCGGGAACUGAGUGACAGGUGCUGCAUGGCCGUCGUCAGCUCGUGUCGUGAGAUGUUUGGUUAAGUCCAUCAACGAGCGCAACCCUUGUGAUUAGUUGAAUUUUUCUAAUCAGACCGCCCUGGCAACGGGGGAGGAAGGAGGGGAUGAUGUCAGGUCAGUAUUGCCCUUACGUCCUGGGCUACAAACACGCUACAAUGGCCGGUACAAAGGGCAGCCAAGUCGCGAGACGGAGCAAAUCCCAUCAAAGCCGGUCCCAGUUCGGAUAGCAGGCUGAAACUCGCCUGCUUG
Molecule: ribosomal RNA, 536 nt
Filed under: uncultured bacterium
Lineage: Bacteria
Description: bacterial SSU rRNA
Rfam family: Bacterial small subunit ribosomal RNA
Source: RNAcentral